This 253-nucleotide ribosomal RNA is filed under the name uncultured bacterium. RNAcentral's name for it is "partial 16S ribosomal RNA". It matches the Rfam family "Bacterial small subunit ribosomal RNA", at positions 524 to 776 of the family's 1533-position model. The record is from RNAcentral.
UACAGAGGGGGCGAGCGUUAUUCGGAAUUAUUGGGCGUAAAGGGCUCGUAGGCGGCCAACUAAGUCCGACGUGAAAUCCCUCGGCUCAACCGAGGAACUGCAUCCGAUACUGGCGGGCUUGAAUCCGGGAGAGGGAUGUGGAAUUCCAGGUGUAGCGGUGAAAUGCGUAGAUAUCUGGAGGAACACCGGUGGCGAAGGCGGCAUCCUGGACCGGUAUUGACGCUGAGGCGCGAAAGCUAGGGGAGCAAACAGG